AUUGAACGCUGGCGGCAGGCCUAACACAUGCAAGUCGAGCGGAUGAGAGGAGCUUGCUCCUUGAUUUAGCGGCGGACGGGUGAGUAAUGCCUAGGAAUCUGCCUGGUAGUGGGGGAUAACGUUCCGAAAGGAACGCUAAUACCGCAUACGUCCUACGGGAGAAAGCAGGGGACCUUCGGGCCUUGCGCUAUCAGAUGAGCCUAGGUCGGAUUAGCUAGUUGGUGGGGUAAUGGCUCACCAAGGCGACGAUCCGUAACUGGUCUGAGAGGAUGAUCAGUCACACUGGAACUGAGACACGGUCCAGACUCCUACGGGAGGCAGCAGUGGGGAAUAUUGGACAAUGGGCGAAAGCCUGAUCCAGCCAUGCCGCGUGUGUGAAGAAGGUCUUCGGAUUGUAAAGCACUUUAAGUUGGGAGGAAGGGCAGUAAGCUAAUACCUUGCUGUUUUGACGGUACCGACAGAAUAAGCACCGGCUAACUUCGUG
This 484-nucleotide ribosomal RNA is filed under the name uncultured bacterium. Its description in RNAcentral is "partial 16S ribosomal RNA". It matches the Rfam family "Bacterial small subunit ribosomal RNA", at positions 30 to 507 of the family's 1533-position model. The record is from RNAcentral.